GGGGAUUUAGCUCAGUGGUAGAGCGCUUGCCUAGGAAGCGCAAGGCCCUGGGUUCGGUCCCCAAGCUCCG
Molecule: non-coding RNA, 70 nt
Organism: Rattus norvegicus (Norway rat)
Lineage: Eukaryota; Metazoa; Chordata; Mammalia; Rodentia; Muridae
Source: Rfam